This 1112-nucleotide long non-coding RNA is filed under the name Daphnia magna. RNAcentral describes it as "uncharacterized LOC116925299, transcript variant X6". Lineage: Eukaryota; Metazoa; Arthropoda; Branchiopoda; Diplostraca; Daphniidae. The record is from RNAcentral.
UCCGUAGCUGAACGAAAGAGGGACUGCAAUAGAAUUCGUCUGCUAGGCAGAGAAAAAACAUGGAACGUCUACUGCUUGACUUUUUAUUAGCAGAACAUGCAAAACAUGCUUGUCUGUCCAUCUCAGUGAUGAGAUGGCAAAUUUGUUGAGUAAAUCUGACUAAGGAAGCAAAUCUGAGAAGUGUUCCUAAAAGUAACUUGUCCCAGUGUGAUUUUCAUAGCAAUCCAUCAUUUUUUCCAAAGAUUUUUUUAUGAAGCUACAACAUAGAAGGUCGUGACCCAGUAAGCAUCAUACAGGGAGCUCCUAUUUUAAAGAAACCAUUAACUCCUCAAAGACCACAAGUACACCUGUUACCACCACCCGGUUCCAAAUCGAUGAUUGCUUGGAUUCUAGAAAAAAACAAUGCUCGGUAAAGUAAAUUUUACAGUUGCCAACCACAAUAGUUCCGCACUGUAAUAAAAUCUCGGUCAGUGACUCGGUGUCGCCAACGUGAUACAAAGUUAUUCAACUCUUUACAUCAAACCUGUUGAGAAGGAUGCCCCAGGCUGGACACUAUUACUCCAAUUGAAAAUGAAUGGACACAGUUCAUUUAUAGCACUCAUGCAAGAUGCAACCACCAUUUAGACAUCUUAAAAACGUAUUUUAGGAUAUGCAAACUAUGGCACUUAAUUUUUAUAUAAUACUUCGCAAGUUUGUCGCAUGUGAAAAAGAAUAAAAAUGGAAUGUGAUGCCUAGGUAGCAUAAUGAGGUCAGAAGAUUGCCCAACAUCUAUGGAAAAAUGACUUGAUUGAUGAACCAGCUAUAUUUAGCAGGUUGGCUUUAUUGGAGAACUGUUAAACAUUUGAUAUUCAUAAUGUUCGCAAGGCUUUUAAGAAAAUAGUUUUCAUUGCACUGGCGACAAUUCGGAAUGGCGAGGUGCGAAUGAAUCGGAUUAAAAGUCAGCGUGGAAAUGCAAUAGUUCCGCAGCUGGCAAGAAAUGAGAGGACGAUUGGUGAUGAGACAAUUUAUUCUAAUCGCUGUAACUCAUGGACACGUCGACAUUCGUGGUAAUCAAACUUAGAACGUCUGCAAUGCGAAAUUUUUCACCAAUAUAAAGGAAAGCUGCAAACAUA